Molecule: ribosomal RNA, 305 nt
Filed under: uncultured bacterium
Lineage: Bacteria
Description: partial 16S ribosomal RNA
Rfam family: Bacterial small subunit ribosomal RNA
Source: RNAcentral
ACAGCAGCCGCCACGGUAAUACAGAGGGUGAGAGCGUUAAUCGGAUUUACUGGGCGUAAAGCGUGCGUAGGCGGCUUCUUAAGUCGGAUGUGAAAUCCCUGAGCUUAACUUAGGAAUUGCAUUCGAUACUGGGAAGCUAGAGUAUGGGAGAGGAUGGUAGAAUUCCAGGUGUAGCGGUGAAAUGCGUAGAGAUCUGGAGGAAUACCGAUGGCGAAGGCAGCCAUCUGGCCUAAUACUGACGCUGAGGUACGAAAGCAUGGGGAGCAAACAGGAUUAGAUACCCCGGUAGUCCCUGUCUCUUAUAU